GAUUUGCACACCGCGAUACGUCCUUUUGUUGGAUGAGUUUUUCUAUUCUGAAUUCUCUUUGCUCUUGGUUUUGACCGAGACUUGGUUGUUGGCUUAUAUGCUAUCGUGUUGUGGUGCUGGUGAUGCCUAUCGGUGCCCAUAAAGCAUUGUUCUUUGCAUUUCCAGUAGUUGGCGGCAGCAAUACCUUGAAGAAGUACCUAGAAACUUCAUCUUUGAAAGCAUCUGGAGACUUUCUUAGAGCCAACAAAUGGGCCAGAUCCAUCGAGAUAUGCUUAAAGCUUUUCUUUUAUGUUUUGUUUGGAUGGAUUUUGGGCGUCUAACCCACCUCAUGUACUGCUUUCUAAUUUAAUGAAAUUUCAUAUUUCAUGAGGAAAAAAGAAACUGCUGAGAGCAAGAGAGAUGAAAAGAUUUCUAUGUAUUUAAGGGCGUAAUGAAAUAUGAUGCAAUCAAAUUUUCUGUUGAGAGCCAUUACAAACGUGUUGCUUCUUCCGUUCACUAUAACAACGAUAUCUCCAUCUCCAUCUCGGAUUUAGACCAGGUUUUGCUUGAGAAGAGCCAUGUAAUGUUGCAUCAGGUCAAUUUCAUGUUCCCUUUCAUGUCACACUAUCAGUUGCUCUUGCAUUGCGAAGCUUGAUUGCAUCUGGGAUCAGACACCAAUCUAUUACUUGUGCUUGAAAAGUGGGCUUCCACUUGACAGGAUCACACUCUCUUUAUAUUGUGAGGUGAGAGUCAACUGCUUUGGAAGCGAUUUUUUGGCUGUUUGGUUUAAAUACACCCCAUAAAAAAUAUUUCUUGCAAAAACCUGUGAAUCAAUUGCUUCAAAAUAUAAGAGAACUUCAUACAAGAAAUCAAUUAAUUUAUUGGAAAAAGAAAUCUUUGCUUCAAUUCGCAAUUAUAACCAAUUCUUUUCAUUUUGUCUAUUAUAUACAUAAUAUUUCACAUUAGUAUCAAUUCUAACCAAACUUGGAACAAAGAAAAACCUGAAAAGUUUUCACCUUGUUCUCUCUCUUUAGCAUUUUGGAAGUUUUAGCAGAUGCUCUUACAAGAAUAGCUACAAUUGACACCGAUGUGGAAGGUUGCAUAUAUUAUCAAAAAAAUUGAAAAGAUCGACUAUAAUUGUAAACUGAACCAAGGUUUUAGAGUCAUUAACCUACUAGCUAUUAUUCAGGGAAAAAAACUAUAAAACAAGAAAAGCAAAUAGCUUACGCCAAUGUUCGGGUGGCAGUUCACGAGAAGAGAAGACCAAUAGUUCCACAUUGUUUAUCACUGCCUUAAGAGCUUGGUCAUGAAUGAUUAGGUCAUCCAUCAGGUCAUCAAAAACUUUUUCAUCCCUUUCAUGUUGAGGAAAAAAAUAAAGAGCAAUACUUUCAUCAGUUGGUGGUUCUAUCUGAAAACUCUGAGGCCAUGCCUCAGAUCUAGAAACAAUUGCUACAUUCAGUCGCAUUGGUAAUGCUUUUGCUACUUCCUCUGCUUUUGGGCAAGCUUUACUUGAUAAAUGGGCCACAAGUCCAAAGAAAGUUGAGUUUUUCUUAUUUUGGAUUCUAAAGGAUCCCCCCCAAAUUGGAUCAAUUAUUGGUUGGGCAUGGACAUAUCUGUUGGCUUCUGAAUAUGGUAUUUCACUUGAUAUGUUCAGUGGAUAAGCACUGACUGCAUGAUCUGGUUGACAAGGAUGAACUUCAGUGUGUUUAACAGAUUCAGACUCCUCAUCAGAACUGCAAUCUUCAAGGACCAACCUUCUCUUUGGUUUUUUGAACUCUUCAUUUCCAAUGUUGGGGAAAGAAGAUGGCAGCCUUUCUAUCUUCUCUUUCUGGCAAUCACCUGUAGGCUUCUUUGCAUUAGUCAAACUAUCUGUAUCUGCACAAGCCUGUGCUUUUACCGUAGAGAAACUGGUCUGCCUUCGCAUCUUAAUCCUAUUCAACCUGAUUUCAACAGCUUGACUAAUGCGUGCACUUUUAAUCGAUGGAUUAGGACUAGACUUAGUAUUUCUUGAACUACAUUCCUCACAAGUCCAAAUGAAAUUUUCAUCACCUUUUCUUCGCAAAAUGUCCAUACAAUAGCUAUGCUCGGAGGAGCCCUGACACUUGGCACAGUAUAUAAGAUGCUUCGUGUAACCUUUAUCCCCACACUUCUGACAAACACUCAUCUUCUCAAAAAUAGUACCGCUGCUCCAAAUUUCAACCCAAAUUCUUCAAGUUUCAAGCUUAUAAUCAUGCAAUAGAGUAUUUGUGAGAGAGAUUAAGGAAAAAAAAGCGGCGAGAGAUUUUGCAGUAUAUAGCCAAAGAACGCAACAAAAAUAGAACAGGCCGUGAGAGGAAGAAAGAUGACUCUUGGGAACUAAAUAAAUAAUUAACAUCCAUCUAUGUACACAAAGCAGGUAGGUUUUCU
This 2385-nucleotide unclassified non-coding RNA is filed under the name Hevea brasiliensis (rubber tree). The record is from RNAcentral. Lineage: Eukaryota; Viridiplantae; Streptophyta; Magnoliopsida; Malpighiales; Euphorbiaceae.